UUUUAUUUUCAAUUUUUAUUUGUCAAAUUAUGCAUGUACCGCUACAUGUCGCUUGCAAGUAACAAGUUGAAGGGGACUAACAACCCUCUUGCAUGCAUUGGGUGCAAGUGUGUGCUCUUUUGUGUAUAUGCGUUGAAGACGAAAAAUUGCGUCUUCCUCCUAUUGGUUUGUGUCGGUGAAAGGAUCUACAUGUAUUGGGGACUCAAAGGCCCCCCUUUGCUGGUUUGGCGGGGAGAGGGGUCACGGCAAGAGCAGAACAAACAGUCAG
This 268-nucleotide long non-coding RNA is filed under the name Hordeum vulgare. Its description in RNAcentral is "long non-coding RNA (HVUL_LNC019222)". The record is from RNAcentral. Lineage: Eukaryota; Viridiplantae; Streptophyta; Magnoliopsida; Poales; Poaceae.